AGAACUCAAGGACAGGGACUGGAGUGUUGUGGGGAGCCCAGAAGCCCCUGUUUUACUUCUUUCUUUGCUUUUCCUGAAUAUCUGCUUUAUUCUUACUCUAUAGACCUGCUUCCUCCUCUUUCACCCCACAUUGUGGGGUGUAGUCUUUUGCUUCAAGAAAGCAGCCUGGUGGAUGGAAUCUCUUGGCCCCAAUCCCAAAUUCUCUGGAGAAGGGGCUCUUUGGUUUAACUUGGAUAAUGUUGUCUUCAGCUGGGGGUGGGCACAUCGUGCAUAUGUGGCUGCUGCCGGGGAACCACGUGGAUGAUGUGAGAGGAGCAGCACCCAGAAGAGGGAGUGCUGGGCUGAUGGUCCAGGUCGUGUCCACUUCUGAUUGUUUAAUUCUUCUUCUAAGUGGAUGGAUCUUUCUCCAAUACUCAGCAAAUCCUGAUCGUUCCAGAAUACUUCAUUAUAGCCAAUUGGUUAUAAUGUGCUUCUCUAAGAGAAAUAUUUAGGGACAACAAAUCUUCAUGGGUUUGAAGACUUGAUGGAGGAAAAAGGAGUAGAUUUUCGAAGGCUGGAUUUGGAUGAACAGGGGCUAUUCAGGGAGUGCAUUCCAACCUAAAAUUAGGAAAAACUGGCUGGGCGCAGUGGCUCACGCGCUUUGGGAGGCCGAGGCGGGCAGAUGGCCUGAGGUCAGGAGUUCAAGACCAGCCUGGCCAACAUGGUGAAACCCGUCUCUAC
This 720-nucleotide long non-coding RNA is filed under the name Homo sapiens (human). RNAcentral describes it as "HSALNT0290902". Lineage: Eukaryota; Metazoa; Chordata; Mammalia; Primates; Hominidae. The record is from RNAcentral.